AGAGAGCUGAGAUCGAGAGGUACUUGAGAAGGUUGAAGAUGGAGCCUUUAGCGUCUUCAGUCAAGGAGGAGAUCGAUCAUGUCAUCACAGCUCUACGAGACGGUCCUGUCUUCUCUAUCUACGGGCUGUUUGUUCUCGACCGUCACUGCUUCCUGUCGAUUGCCAGCUUCGUCACCACCUAUGUGGUGAUCGCGUACCAGCUGGAAAUGAGCGAAACAGCGAGACCAUCUGCGUGCAACGCUUCCCUCCAGGCGUGACCACCUGUCUGUGGUGAUGCCCACCACCACCAGCUGGUCAAGAGUUCUUGAUCCAGGGAGCCGGAGGUCUCUACUUGGGGGUUACACCGUGACCCAGACGGGUUUAGCGCUUCUCCGUGAGAGGGUAGUUA
Molecule: long non-coding RNA, 388 nt
Organism: Cherax quadricarinatus
Lineage: Eukaryota; Metazoa; Arthropoda; Malacostraca; Decapoda; Parastacidae
Source: RefSeq, a predicted model, not a curated record